UGAUCGUUAAAGUUAUUCGGUUCUGGUGGGGGUCAGCUACCAGAGGUAACGGGGAAAGUUCGGUGCAAAUCCGCCACUGUCCCGCAACUGUGAACUAAUUUGAGAUUUGAGAUUAGCUUGUCUUAGUCAUCCCAAAUUCUAAAUUGAGUGAGUCAGGAUGCCCGCCGAAGUAGAUUUAUCAGU
RNAcentral lists this non-coding RNA (183 nucleotides) under Nostoc calcicola. The record is from RNAcentral. Lineage: Bacteria; Bacillati; Cyanobacteriota; Cyanophyceae; Nostocales; Nostocaceae.